GAAGUGCGAUAAGCAAUGCGAAUUGCAGAACCGUGAGUCAUCAGAUUUUUGAACGCAACUGGCGCCAGUUGGCUCUCCAACUGGCAUGCUUGUUUCAGUGUCUUUUUAUCUCAUAACCCAAAUCAUAAUGCGAGAGAUACCCUUCUCUUGUUAAGCACGAAAGCACUCUGUACUCUGCAAGCGGCUUCGUUUACGAGGUCGCACUCAAUGCAGCGGUCACGUUGUUUCAAUGUGAACUCAUUGGGAGUAGAGGCAGCGCAGUCUAACUGUUAGUGCUUAGUCACUUUAACUUAUUUGUAUCUGAAAUCAAGCAGGAUCACCCGCUGAACUUAA
This 333-nucleotide unclassified non-coding RNA is filed under the name uncultured fungus. RNAcentral's name for it is "sequence contains ITS1". The stretch from base 1 to 103 matches the Rfam family "5.8S ribosomal RNA", at positions 50 to 154 of the family's 154-position model. The record is from RNAcentral. Lineage: Eukaryota; Fungi.